GAGGAAAGCGGGCGGCGUGCCUAAUACAUGCAAGUCGAGCGAACGGACGAGAAGCUUGCUUCUCUGAUGUUAGCGGCGGACGGGUGAGUAACACGUGGAUAACCUACCUAUAAGACUGGGAUAACUUCGGGAAACCGGAGCUAAUACCGGAUAAUAUUUUGAACCGCAUGGUUCAAAAGUGAAAGACGGUCUUGCUGUCACUUAUAGAUGGAUCCGCGCUGCAUUAGCUAGUUGGUAAGGUAACGGCUUACCAAGGCAACGAUGCAUAGCCGACCUGAGAGGGUGAUCGGCCACACUGGAACUGAGACACGGUCCAGACUCCUACGGGAGGCAGCAGUAGGGAAUCUUCCGCAAUGGGCGAAAGCCUGACGGAGCAACGCCGCGUGAGUGAUGAAGGUCUUCGGAUCGUAAAACUCUGUUAUUAGGGAAGAACAUAUGUGUAAGUAACUGUGCACAUCUUGACGGUACCUAAUCAGAAAGCCACGGCUAACUACGUG
RNAcentral lists this ribosomal RNA (497 nucleotides) under uncultured bacterium. RNAcentral describes it as "partial 16S ribosomal RNA". It matches the Rfam family "Bacterial small subunit ribosomal RNA", at positions 28 to 507 of the family's 1533-position model. The record is from RNAcentral.